ACUCCUACGGGAGGCAGCAGUGGGGAAUCUUGCGCAAUGGGCGAAAGCCUGACGCAGCCAUGCCGCGUGAAUGAUGAAGGUCUUAGGAUUGUAAAAUUCUUUCACCGGGGACGAUAAUGACGGUACCCGGAGAAGAAGCCCCGGCUAACUUCGUGCCAGCAGCCGCGGUAAUACGAAGGGGGCUAGCGUUGCUCGGAAUUACUGGGGCGUAAAGGGAGCGUAGGCGGACUGUUUAGUCAGAGGUGAAAGCCCAGGGCUCAACCUUGGAAUUGCCUUUGAUACUGGCAGUCUUGAGUACGGAAGAGGUAUGUGGAACUCCGAGUGUAGAGGUGAAAUUCGUAGAUAUUCGGAAGAACACCAGUGGCGAAGGCGACAUACUGGUCCGUUACUGACGCUGAGGCUCGAAAGCGUGGGGAGCAAACAGGAUUAGAUACCCUGGUAGGAUAGCG
This 449-nucleotide ribosomal RNA is filed under the name uncultured bacterium. Its description in RNAcentral is "bacterial SSU rRNA". It matches the Rfam family "Bacterial small subunit ribosomal RNA", at positions 335 to 799 of the family's 1533-position model. The record is from RNAcentral.